This is a non-coding RNA of Triticum aestivum (bread wheat), 136 nucleotides long. Lineage: Eukaryota; Viridiplantae; Streptophyta; Magnoliopsida; Poales; Poaceae. The record is from Rfam.
UUUAUACUCCCUCCGUCCGGAAAUACUUGUCGUCAAAAUAAAUAAAAGGAGAUGUAUUUAGAUGUAUUUUAGUUCUAGAUACAACCGUUUUUUUUUCAUUUUGAUGACUAGUAUUUUCUAACGGAGGGAGUACGUU